RNAcentral lists this ribosomal RNA (1443 nucleotides) under uncultured organism. RNAcentral describes it as "SSU rRNA". It matches the Rfam family "Bacterial small subunit ribosomal RNA". The record is from RNAcentral.
CGACAGGCUUAACACAUGCAAGUCGAGGGGCAGCGGGGGUAGCGAUACCCGCCGGCGACCGGCGCACGGGUGAGUAACGCGUAUGCAACUUGCCUAUCAGAGGGGGAUAACCCGGCGAAAGUCGGACUAAUACCGCAUGAAGCAGGGGCCCCGCAUGGGGAUAUUUGCUAAAGAUUCAUCGCUGAUAGAUAGGCAUGCGUUCCAUUAGGCAGUUGGCGGGGUAACGGCCCACCAAACCGACGAUGGAUAGGGGUUCUGAGAGGAAGGUCCCCCACAUUGGUACUGAGACACGGACCAAACUCCUACGGGAGGCAGCAGUGAGGAAUAUUGGUCAAUGGCCGAGAGGCUGAACCAGCCAAGUCGCGUGAGGGAUGAAGGUUCUAUGGAUCGUAAACCUCUUUUAUAAGGGAAUAAAGUGCGGGACGUGUCCCGUUUUGUAUGUACCUUAUGAAUAAGGAUCGGCUAACUCCGUGCCAGCAGCCGCGGUAAUACGGAGGAUCCGAGCGUUAUCCGGAUUUAUUGGGUUUAAAGGGUGCGUAGGCGGCCUUUUAAGUCAGCGGUGAAAGUCUGUGGCUCAACCAUAGAAUUGCCGUUGAAACUGGGGGGCUUGAGUAUGUUUGAGGCAGGCGGAAUGCGUGGUGUAGCGGUGAAAUGCAUAGAUAUCACGCAGAACCCCGAUUGCGAAGGCAGCCUGCCAAGCCAUUACUGACGCUGAUGCACGAAAGCGUGGGGAUCAAACAGGAUUAGAUACCCUGGUAGUCCACGCAGUAAACGAUGAUCACUAGCUGUUUGCGAUACACUGUAAGCGGCACAGCGAAAGCGUUAAGUGAUCCACCUGGGGAGUACGCCGGCAACGGUGAAACUCAAAGGAAUUGACGGGGGCCCGCACAAGCGGAGGAACAUGUGGUUUAAUUCGAUGAUACGCGAGGAACCUUACCCGGGUUUGAACGCAUUCGGACCGAGGUGGAAACACCUUUUCUAGCAAUAGCCGUUUGCGAGGUGCUGCAUGGUUGUCGUCAGCUCGUGCCGUGAGGUGUCGGCUUAAGUGCCAUAACGAGCGCAACCCUUGCCACUAGUUACUAACAGGUAAAGCUGAGGACUCUGGUGGGACUGCCAGCGUAAGCUGCGAGGAAGGCGGGGAUGACGUCAAAUCAGCACGGCCCUUACAUCCGGGGCGACACACGUGUUACAAUGGCGUGGACAAAGGGAAGCCACCUGGCGACAGGGAGCGAAUCCCCAAACCACGUCUCAGUUCGGAUCGGAGUCUGCAACCCGACUCCGUGAAGCUGGAUUCGCUAGUAAUCGCGCAUCAGCCAUGGUGCGGUGAAUACGUUCCCGGGCCUUGUACACACCGCCCGUCAAGCCAUGGGAGCCGGGGGUACCUGAAGUCCGUAACCGAAAGGAUCGGCCUAGGGUAAAACUGGUGACUGGGGCUAAGUCGUA